Molecule: long non-coding RNA, 3553 nt
Filed under: Gossypium raimondii (Peruvian cotton)
Lineage: Eukaryota; Viridiplantae; Streptophyta; Magnoliopsida; Malvales; Malvaceae
Description: long non-coding RNA (GRAI_LNC008406)
Source: RNAcentral
AAAAUACUUCAUUCAAGCGGCUUAUAAAAAAAAUCCUAAUCCUUCACUGAAAUUGUCACUGCCACUGUAACCACUACAAGACUUCAUCACCUUCAUUGCCAUUACAUCUGCAAAACUCUGUCACUAUCAAUGUGAAUCAUUGUAACCUUCACAUCAAGAAAAUCACUUCAGUUCUUAAAAAAAAAAAGCAAAUCUUAACACUCCCCUCUAGAAAAUCGUCAUAGCUGCUACAAUGACCAUUGUCACUGCUACAACCCUAACCUUAAGCACACCUUACUGUUGUUUCAAUCAAGGACACCGCAGGUAAAAUCUGAAACACUCCCCUUGUUUGCCCAUCGAAUUGGAAAUGACUACAUGAGACUAAAUCUUUUUCAUGAUUGUUUUCUUUUGGGUUUAUUGUUGUUAGAAGGCAAAAUUAACACUGUUGUUGUGACUCUUUGGUGCUUCUAACAUAGGUUUAUGCUAUCUAUAUGGAAGAAGUAUGCCAUCCGGACACUUGUUAAACUGUCAGUUUAUAUAAUUUUUCCUAAAAUAGCAUAAGAAUGGCUAAAAUCCAUUUGGUUUGCUUUCAAGCUAUAUGAAUGUUUAAUCCUUGAAUUUUUUUAUCUUGUUUAAUGCAUUUUUAAUAUCUCAAUGCAAUGAGAUAUUCUUUGUAAUUUCAAUUAGGUGAAUAUGGAAAGCAACUUUCUGAAGAACGUGCAAAAAUUGAAAGCAUCUUUCAUACAUUAUUAGUAAGAAAUUUGGGUUAUGUAUAUAAAAAUUGGUUACAAAAUGAAAAUUGAUUUAUUAAUAUUGGUAUUUUUGUAGUUUAAGUGUCCAAUGAAAACAAAUUCAGAAGGAACAAAAAUUUCAAGUUAUUUGAGAAUUUGAGAAGAGUUUAUUAGUUGUUUAGGGUUGAUGUUUACAUACAACCAUUCAUCUUAUUAUUGUUGGUAUUCUUUUGAAUUAGGGUAUCCGGGAGUUAGCCUCAAAGUGGGUAGAACUCCUGGCACUAGAGAAGGAGCAUUUUGAAUAAAUUACAACAAAACAAGUAGAAAAUGGAAAAAAAUAAAAAAGAAUUGGAAAUUGAAUAGGGUGGAAAGCAUCAGGUAUAAUUUAAUUUAUAGUUAUACUAAUAACAUUAUAAUUUUUGGUGUAGAGCUUUCUUACCCAGUGUCCUCUAUGCAUAUUAAAGUUGUUAAAUGACUUGAAGGAUAAGGAUAUAGAAAAUAUCCUUCAGAUCUUGGUAUGAGAUUGUUGAAGGGGCUGAAUCCUAGAUCAAUAAGGAGAGAGGUCGUAGCAUUCUUGACUGAGAGGUUCAAUCCAAAAAGUUGCCAUAUGAUAGUCAAGUAGUCAACUAUCUACUAUUCCUUAUUGAGUCUUAAAGAUGAAGGUGUCGAUGUUUCCUCAGUCUUGAAGAGGAAAUAUGACCUACAAUUGAGGGAGAAAUAUCUACUUAUUAAGAUGGCAAAAUUGUUAGACUAUUGAGAUGCUGGAUUCAAUGAUUUAAAAGUAGCAUUGCUUCCAUUCAUCAUCAAACUACUCCUUUGUCCAUCUAGUCUUCCUUGUCCCUCCGAAAAUUACUGGACUACCUCUAUGAUGAAGGCCUAAGAAUAAGCUAAAUUGGGCCAAACAUACUCAUGUACUCAUCGAAGGAUUUAGGAAAUAUGUUAAGGGACAAAAUAUUGGUAAAAAAUUCGGCUACAUAAGCGAAUAAAUUGGAUUGUUGGAGGUAAAAAUUGGUUGUUUGUUUGAUUCUAAUGUUUUUGUCUUAAUUGCAAAUUUGUUUUUAUGACUACUUGGCUAGAGUGGAAAGCCAUAAAUUUGGCCGCUCUGGAUUAGACCUGUCCAUGGGUUGGGCGGCUCGCCCGAAAUAUGGGAGGGUUCGGGUAAAAAUAUAGGCCCGAAAUAUGGGCUUAGGCAAAAAAAUGAGGCCCGUUUAAAAAAUGGGCCGGGCUCGGGCCCAACUUUUUGGCCCGAGCCCGGCCCGGCCCGAAUAUAAUAAAUAUAUAUUUUUUAAUUUUAUUUUUUAUUUUUAAAAUACUUUAAAAAUAUUUUUAUUUUUUUAUUUUUAAAAUAUUUUUUUGUGUUUAUUAAAAAUCGGGCUGGGCCGGGCCGGGCCGGGCUUAUUAUUUUUUCCCGGGCUAGGCCUAGGCAAAAUUUUAGGCCCAUAUUUUGGGCCGGGCCGGGCCCGGGCCAAAAUUUUUUCCGAGCCCGGCCCGAACCCAGCCCGGCCCAUGGACAGGUCUACUCUAGAUUCCCUCUCGAAUUAGUGUUUAGGGGAAUGAUAACGUCAAGAAGUGAAGGCUUUCCGAAAAUCCUACAGUUAAAGAGGGGGUAGUUUCAUUACAAUUAGUAAAUAAUACUUAGUUUUGUUAUGAAAUAUGAUGCAACACAAAACAAUCUUACAAGUUGCUAUUUCCAUAAUGGAAAUUGUCCCUCAAUCGAGGCUUAUUGAACAAUCUCUAAUGACUGAUUUUGUUGCUAAAUGGUUGGCAAAUAUCUAUCAUGGUUGGCAAAUAUCUAUCAUUACAUUAUCGAUAUUCCAAAUCUUAUUACAUGGACUUUAAGGGAUACAUGUGGUUGUUUUUUUCCUUUUAGUCAUAAAAAAAGGAAUCAUUUCGCUUGAUUUACCUAAAAUUAAAUGAUGUUUCAUUAGAGUAGAAAAAGGAGUUCGUGGAAGAGGUGAAUACAGUGUGCUUGAUUGAAUCCUACCUUGCUAAAGCCCCAAACACGUUCAUAACUCCUUCCACUAUGGUUAAUGUGUCAGAUUCUGCUUACUAUGCCCCAUGAAAAUGGAAGGUAUGAAGUAUAAUUAUAGAAUGAGUUUUAGUUUUUAUAAUCAUAUUAUAUUUUAUUCACAUGUGAUAAUAUAUAAUUAUAUAUUAUAGGUUUUGGUCUCUUCAACAAAUGCGUCAAUCAUGUAUCUAAUAAAAACCUGAUCAAGAAGUCGUGUUCAAUAAUGAAUUUUUCUUUACCAUCUCGUUUGUGGUAUGUGAUAUAAUACGAUUGGCGAAAUAAUAAUUCCCUGUUAUUUGAAAACAAUAAAUUGUAGUUGCUUUUGGUUAUUUCAUUUGGACUAGUCAUAUGUGUUUUUUUGUAAUUGAAUUGGAAUGACAUGUAUGCUGUUAUGUAAUUGGCUUAGAUAAUUUGUAAUUGAACUUUGUAAUUUUUAUUUGCGGUUUAAUUAUUUAUUUACCUACCAUUAUCAACUAACAUCAAUCCCUAUCAUCAUGUUGCUUUUCUAUUAACUUGUUUUUGUAGAUGCCUCUACCACCAGUCAAGAUUCCACAUGAACUUGGCAAAGUAGAAACCUCCAUUUCCGAGUACAUUUGCGAUAAUGAUGUUAAUUAUAUAGAGUAAGCACUUGUUAAAUAUUCUUUAUCAUUAAUCAUAUACAUGCAUUGUAUGAAUCUAAAGUCUGUACUUGUAAAGUUGUAGUGAAACAAUAUUAAUGUCGGGAAUGUUUCGGCUUGUAUUUAGGAGUUCUAUGCAAUACAACCUAGGGUGUAGAUUGGUGACAACAUAACUUUGGUUUUUAUUACUUCAAUGUUAAUUUUUUUUAAUAUUAUUC